UUGGUGACUCUGGAACCAUGAUUCAGCAGACCUGUGAGGCUGUGAGUUCCCUAUCGGAACACAAUCUGCAGGAAGCAUUGGAACAGAUCACUUAGCCCAGCACCUAGGUGAUGUGAUUCUCCUCUUGCCUGGUUCCUGCCUACUGGAGAGAUUGUGAGCCAUUGCUGAGCAAAGCAGCAAGGUUGUAUUGUGCCAUAUACCUGGGAC
Long non-coding RNA from Symphalangus syndactylus (siamang), 207 nucleotides. RefSeq lists it as uncharacterized. The record is from RefSeq and is a predicted model, not a curated record. NCBI's taxonomy places the organism in Eukaryota, Metazoa, Chordata, Mammalia, Primates, Hylobatidae.